RNAcentral lists this long non-coding RNA (777 nucleotides) under Rattus norvegicus (Norway rat). RNAcentral describes it as "long non-coding RNA NONRATT007591". Lineage: Eukaryota; Metazoa; Chordata; Mammalia; Rodentia; Muridae. The record is from RNAcentral.
UUGAGUUGCUUUCUCCCCACUCCACAUCCCUCUUUUGGACCUAGCUUGUGGUGCUGGGUUCCCUGUCUGAACUGUCUUGCCAUGGGUCAGAGGGAGCUUUCUCUGAAUAAAGACGUGUGCUCAUUGAAGCUGGAGGAUGCACGGUCAGAAGCGCGAGCAUGAGGAGCUGGGUUUGCACCCCCUGCACCCAUGUCAAAGGGCAUGUCGGCACGUGUAUCACUGGUGCUGGGUGCAGGGGGCUAUGGCAGAAGGACCCAGGGGCUCACCUGCUAUCGGUCUAGCAGAGUCAGAGAGUUCCAGGUUGAGUGAGAGACCCUGUCUCAAAGAAACAAUGAUUGAUGACACCCAGUGUUGGGGUGGAAGCCUGCCUGCCUGUCUCUCUGUCUGCCUGCCUGCCUUCCGAAGCCCAUGCUGUCCUGGGUUGUGUGCUGCUGAGACUCCUGAGUUCUGUCACUGUGGUGGUUUUUUUGUUUUUUUCCUUGCCCCUCCCUCCAUCCUGAUAUUUUUGUUUGUGUCCUGGUUUUGGCAGGUACCACAAGAGCCAGGCCAUCUACCUGGAGUCUAAGGACAACCAGAAACUGAGCUGUGUGAUCAGCUCAGUAGGAGCCAAUGAGAUCUGGGUGAGGAAGACCAGCGACAGCACCAAGAUGCGGAUCUACCUGGGCCAGCUGCAGCGCGGGCUCUUCGUGAUCCGCCGGCGGUCAGCGGCUUGACUUUCUACGUGCUUCCUCUUCCCUUGACCCCUUUUCUGGAGUGGUUUUUAUUUUUGUUUUGUUU